RNAcentral lists this unclassified non-coding RNA (929 nucleotides) under Hevea brasiliensis (rubber tree). Lineage: Eukaryota; Viridiplantae; Streptophyta; Magnoliopsida; Malpighiales; Euphorbiaceae. The record is from RNAcentral.
UUCACAUUAAUUAUUCAGGUUUCAGCUACUGGAUUUUGAAUUGAUAUCGUCUUCAGGUUACUGCUGCUUUAGAUUGGAAGUUGUAUUGGUGUCCUUUUAACAUGGGGAUCUCUGAUACGGUACGUAGCCUUUUUCCCUGUAUCAAGUCACACUCCACAAGUGAUGGUGAUGAUUCUACCCAUAAUGUCGAGUUUGCUGGUGGAAAUGUGUCCCUUAUUACUACAAAAGAAAGCUGGGAUCAGAAGUUGGCAGAAGCAAAAAAAGAGGGCAAAAUUGUUAUUGCAAAUUUCAGUGCUUCAUGGUGUGGUCCAUGUAGAAUGAUCUCUCCAUUCUACUGUGAGCUGUCUGAGAAAUAUCUUUCUCUGAUGUUUCUAACAGUCGAUGUUGAUGAGCUUACGGAAUUUAGUUCAUCCUGGGAUAUCAAAGCAACUCCAACCUUCUUUUUUCUCAAGGAUGGGGAGCAGAUUGACAAACUCGUAGGAGCCAAUAAACCAGAGCUACAGAAGAAGAUAACCACAGUUGCAGACAGACAUGUAGCAUGUGAGCCGCAGCCGCAGCCACAGUAAUUGCAAUUGGAGGUGUGAAUUGUGUUUAAUAUCCCUGCUUUCCAGUUUUUGUCAAGAAAUUCAGGUCUCCAGUAGGUGUGUCCUUCCAAUCUUUGCACUGCUGCCAAUAUGUUGUACAGUUGUUGUACAAUGAGCCACUACAUCUUGUGUGUGUAUGCAUGUAUGUUAAAGAACUGAAAGCAGUUCGAAUAUUCAACUAAAAAACAUGAAAAGAAUGAUGUGAUUGGAAUAAGUUGAGGCUUGUUUAUUUGAAUCAUUCUGAUCUUGAAAGAAGCAUGAAGCUGUAUGUAUGCAAACAAGUUUGUGUCAUAAUGUGAUCCGCUGGUAUACUUUUGUAAAGGAAAUUUCAAAUUUAUUCUUGGG